Molecule: ribosomal RNA, 404 nt
Filed under: Xylographa parallela
Lineage: Eukaryota; Fungi; Ascomycota; Lecanoromycetes; Baeomycetales; Xylographaceae
Description: SSU rRNA
Rfam family: Bacterial small subunit ribosomal RNA
Source: RNAcentral
UAGCAGUGAGGAAUAUUGGUCAUUAGCCUAACGGCUGAACCAGCAACUUGGAGGAACAUACAGCAAUAGCUGGUUGCAUUAACAAUAAGUUUUUACAACAUCGACUAUGUCGAAUAAAGUUCUAGGUAGAGUUAUGAUAAUGACAUUUUCUAUCUAUGUGUCUUGACCAAAUCACGUGCCAGCAGUCGCGGUAAUACGUGGAAGACUAGUGUUAUUCAUCUUUAAUUGGUUUAAAGGGUACCUAGACGGUCUAUUAAGCCCCUAAAGGGUACUUACAGACUAGAGUUUGAUGAGAGGGGGGAAGUACGAGAGAGUGUAGAGAUGAAAUUCUGUCAUACCUUACUUGGAACAGGCAACGGCGAAAGCAACUCCUUAUGUAAAAACUGACGUUGAAGGACGAAGGA